GACGAACGAUGGCGGCGUGCUUAACACCUGCACGUCGAACGGCAAGGCCUCUUUCGGGGGGUACUCGAGUGGCGAACGGGUGAGUAACACGUGAGUAACCUGCCCUUGACAUUGGGAUAACUUCUGGAAACUGGGGCUAAUACCGGAUAGGAGCGCAUGCUGCAAGGAGGGGGAUGGAAAGUUUCGGCGGUGGGGGAUGGAGACGCGGCUUAUCAGAUUGUUGGUGGGGUAGUGGCUUACCAAGGCUUUGAAGGGUAGCCGGCCUGCGAGGGUGACCGGCCACAUUGGGACUUGGAAUCGGUCCAGACUCCUUCGGGGGGCAGCAGUUGAGAUUAUUGAACAAAGGGUCGAAGCCUGAUUCAGCCACGCCGGGUGCGCGAUGACGGCCGUCGGGUUGUUAGCCGCUUUCGCUCAAGUCGAAGCAUUGUGUGACGGUAGUGGGUAAAGAAGCACCGGCUAACUACGUG
RNAcentral lists this ribosomal RNA (467 nucleotides) under uncultured bacterium. RNAcentral's name for it is "partial 16S ribosomal RNA". It matches the Rfam family "Bacterial small subunit ribosomal RNA", at positions 28 to 507 of the family's 1533-position model. The record is from RNAcentral.